AAGCAGAGGGAAGUGUGUGGAGGCAUGGGGGAAGGCAAUGGCAGCAUGUCUGAAGAGUGACUUGAGCUGUUUUGUAGUCGUCUGCUUGGGGUCCUGAUCCCGAUUGUUGAUCCCGAUGGAGAAAACAACAAUCUUGACAGUCAAAUUGGGCUUAAAUUUCUUUAUUAUUUCAAGCAGAUGGUAUACUUUAGCCCCUGGGUAGCCGUCAAGCUGGAUAUGAGGGUUGUUGUGAGGGGGGAUUCUAGAGAUGUUGGAAUCCCCCAGUAUCAGGACUGGCUUGUCGGCUUUGAUGGUCCAGUCCUGUACUCUCCGGUGUGGUCUGGCGACGUGGCAGGUGGGCGUGAAUGGGGAUGGAAGGGAAGGAGUGAAUGGUGCCUGAAAAAAAGGAUGGUUAGGAAGGGGGGGGAGGGGGGAGGAGGGGGAGAAGGAAAGAGAAGAGGAGAGGGAGGGAGAAGGGGGGGUAGGUGGGUAGGGAGUCCUGGGGAGGCUCGAGUCCAGAGCUGCAGGUGUGCUGGUCUCCAGAGGGGGCCCGCCAAGCAGCACGGCCCCGUCGGACUGGACACAGGAGGGUUCAGUGAGGUUUGCGGUGCAGGCUGUUUGACCUUCCGGAUCCUUGUCAUCAUAUACCCUCCUGUGGUUGCGUGGUAUGCAGUCCGACGGAGUAUGCCGACCCGCAGAGCCCGAACAGGAACCAGCAACACCUGCAGGGGAAAGGCAGAGGGGGGGAGAAAAAAAAUUAAAGAAAGUGGUAGGGGGUGUGUGGACCCGGGCCUGCACCCACCUGUGUCGGGUGCCACCAGGUGAUUUAAAGGAAUUGAGUGUGGUGGUGGGGUCGUCUGCCCAUGUAAGACGAGUGGCGGGGGAAAUGAUGUGACUGGGCUCCGUGCUCAAGGUUUCUGUGAAUUCAGAGGAGAGGUGAGUGGUGUCAAGAUAGUGGUGCGGUCACCGGAGUGGUCAGGGUCUGGGGAAAUGUCCGGAGGGGAGUGGUGGUUGGGGUCUGGAGAGGGGUAGUGGUGAAGGUCAGGGGUAAGGUGGUUGGGGUCAGGAGAGGGGCAGUGGUGCAGGUCGGGGGUAAGGUUGGGGUCAGGGUCAGGGGUUGGGGAAGGGAUAGGAGUGGUCGGUGUGCAGGUAGGGGGUGAGGAGUCGGUUUGGACCUCGGAAAAGGGAAAGUCUGGUGGGGGACUGUGCGUCGGGGAGGUGAGGGAACUCUUCCUCCGUGAUAGGAGGAAGGGGGGUGUGUCUCUGACCAGUAGUGAGGGGGGAUGGGACGGGGGUGCGGGUGGUGGGAGGUGCAGUCAUGUUCAGUGUGUUAGUGUACUAUGAGUGUAGUGUCUGUGGUCAGCCUGGGGCCAUACCUCUUCCUGGCCCACCCCAUGGCAAUUUGGAGGGCCAUGGGGUUACGGGGUGUAUGUUUGAGUGUAUCAAUAGUGUUGUUGUAGUGUUGUUGUAGAAUGGUCAUGUUUGUGUGCAUCCAGUUUAUUGUGUUAUCAUGUAUGAGACUAUGUGUGUGUUCAGUGGGUGUGGAUGGCUUGAUGAAGCAGGUGAGUCUAUUCACCUGCCUCAUCAUGCCAGGUGGAAAUGUGCGUGUGGUGAGAGCCCUAUCCGUGACCUGCUUGUGAUGUAUUGCUUGUAUGAGCUUAAAAUAUUGUUUGCUGAUAUGUCUGGUGAGUGCGUCUGGUGGAUGGUUGAGUGCUGGGUGUAUGCGUGUGUCCGAGGUGGUGGAUCUAUGUGUAGUGUGUCUAUAAUGUCUGAUGGUGGGUGUGCGUGUGCGUGGUUGUGUGGCGUUUGUGUUGUGUGUGGUGUUGCUGUGUGCACGCCGUGCAUACUCACCAAAUCCACUGGAAUGCACAGCCUGGCCCCUGUUUAAAAACAUUUCAAUCGUGGAUUUAAUGGGCUCUUACCUACUCCAACGCUGUGCUGAGGUCCCAGGUGGUGGACGUUUUCUCAGGUGGUAGGACAAUCCCGGAAUGUUUGUUCAGAUCCGGGUUGUCCUGUGGAGUACUGGUAGAGAGCUCAGGUUUGGAGUUUAAAAGUUCUUUUUGUUUUAUUCCACGAGGCAGCAGGAGGGCAGAGCCCACACCAAUAAUUAAAAGUUUUUAUCUUUAUUGUUAAAAAUUUAAAAUAUGGUUUAAAAAGGAAACCAAAGAAGUGUAAAUACACUGGUAAAAAAACAAUGUGUCUAAAAACACUGAAUUAAAAAACACUAGGCCCAAAACACAAUGCCACAAACACAAGGCUUAAAACACAGGGUUAAAAGACUAGGUUUAAAAAGACAGUAUCAGAAAACACAAUGCUUAAAACCAACAAUUAAAAUCACUACAAUCAAAGUAAAAGGGGUACCGGUCGUGUGCAGUCCCGUGGAUCCCUGACGUUUCGCAACUGCGUUGCUUCUUCAGAGGGAUAUGGCGAGCAGCACGGCUGGGCUGUUUUUAUAUGCGGACAGGUGUGUGUGAUGUGAUUGGAUAAUUGGCACCUGGUGUGUGUGUGUCUCUCUGAGCGUAGAGAUGGUAGGUGCCAAUUAUCCAUGUGUUGAAGGUGAAAGAGCAGAUCUAUAGCUCCACGGAUAGGGCUGAGGGCUGGCAGACGGAGGGCCAGGGUUCGAAUCCGACUGACCCCAGGCUGUGAAAAAACUUAAAACAACAAAUCAACAAAAAGAUGUAGUGUGUGAGUGUAGGCAAAGAGGGAAAGAGAAGAGGAGUGGGGGGGUAGGAGAGGCACUAGGGGAUUCCAACAACCUGAUGGGUGUACGGAGGAUGAGUGUGGUGUAAAUCAGUCCAGAUCAGUGGCACUGGCAGGGUUAGGUUUGGGGAAGGGUUGUGGGUAAGGGAUACAGGGGUGUGUUUUGUUUGCACUGGCCAACAGAUCUGUGGAUGGGUGUUGUAAAUGUAUGAGAAUGUAAGUAGAAUACUUACCAGGGGGGGAUCAUGGGCACCAAGCAGAGUACUUAAGUUAUGUACUAUGUGUUAGCAUUUAGAGUCUACAAUUGGAGAUGUGUGCACCAAGAUUCAAAAAUGAGUUUUGCUGUGUUUGUGGUCCAAGUAGUGUUGUCAGUAUCAGUGAAAAAUGUGUCUGCUGGAAUUAAUGGUAGAAUGUUGUGGGUUUUUUUCAAUGUGUUGUUUAUGACUGUAAGAUUACUCUGUUGUGUUUGGGUGAGGUGCGGUGAAAAGUGAAGCAGAGGGAAAUGUAUGGAGGCAUGGGGAAAGGCAAUGGCAGCAUGUCUGAAAAGUGACUUGAGUUGUUUUGCAGUCGUCUGCUUGGGGUCCUGAUCCCGAUUGUUGAUCCCGAUGGAGAAAACAACAAUCUUGACAGUCAAAUUAGGCUUGCAUUUCUUUAUUAGUUCAAGCAGAUGAUAUACUUUAGCCCCUGGGUAGCCGUCCAGCUGGAUGAGGGGGUUGUUAUGGGGAGGGAUUCUGGAGAUGUUGGAAUCUCCCAGUAUCAGGACUGGCUUGGCGGCUUUGAUGAGCCAGUCCUGCACUCUCCGGUGGGGCCUGAUGAUGUGACAGGUGGGUGUGAAGGGGGCUGGAAG
Molecule: long non-coding RNA, 3526 nt
Filed under: Cottoperca gobio
Lineage: Eukaryota; Metazoa; Chordata; Actinopteri; Perciformes; Bovichtidae
Description: lncRNA (ENSCGOG00000016291.1)
Source: RNAcentral